Molecule: ribosomal RNA, 373 nt
Filed under: uncultured organism
Description: bacterial SSU rRNA
Rfam family: Bacterial small subunit ribosomal RNA
Source: RNAcentral
CGUAGGGUCCGAGCGUUGUCCGGAAUUAUUGGGCGUAAAGGGCUCGUAGGCGGUUCGUCACGUCGGGAGUGAAAACUCGGAGCUUAACUCCGAGCCUGCCUCCGAUACGGGCAGACUAGAGGUAGGCAGGGGAGAGCGGAACUCCUGGUGUAGCGGUGGAAUGCGCAGAUAUCAGGAAGAACACCGGUGGCGAAGGCGGCUCUCUGGGCCUUACCUGACGCUGAGGAGCGAAAGCGUGGGUAGCGAACAGGAUUAGAUACCCUGGUAGUCCACGCCGUAAACGUUGGGCGCUAGGUGUGGGGGACAUUCCACGUCCUCCGUGCCGCAGCUAACGCAUUAAGCGCCCCGCCUGGGGAGUACGGCCGCAAGGCUA